This 197-nucleotide ribosomal RNA is filed under the name uncultured bacterium. RNAcentral's name for it is "partial 16S ribosomal RNA". It matches the Rfam family "Bacterial small subunit ribosomal RNA", at positions 339 to 526 of the family's 1533-position model. The record is from RNAcentral.
AUACGGGAGGCAGCAGUAGGGAAUCUUCGGCAAUGGACGAAAGUCUGACCGAGCAACGCCGCGUGAGUGAAGAAGGUUUUCGGAUCGUAAAACUCUGUUGUUAGAGAAGAACAAGGAUGAGAGUAGAACGUUCAUCCCAUGACGGUAUCUAACCAGAAAGCCACGGCUAACUACGUGCCAGCAGCCGCGGUAAUAAU